UCCAGACUCCUACGGGAGGCAGCAGUGGGGGAUAUUGCACAAUGGGCGCAAGCCUGAUGCAGCGACGCCGCGUGAGCGAAGAAGUAUUUCGGUAUGUAAAGCUCUAUCAGCAGGGAAGAAAAUGACGGUACCUGACUAAGAAGCUCCGGCUAAAUACGUGCCAGCAGCCGCGGUAAUACGUAGGGGGCAAGCGUUAUCCGGAUUUACUGGGUGUAAAGGGAGCGUAGACGGCGAUGCAAGUCUGAAGUGAAAGGCGGGGGCCCAACCCCCGGACUGCUUUGGAAACUGUAUAGCUCGAGUGCAGGAGAGGUAAGUGGAAUUCCUAGUGUAGCGGUGAAAUGCGUAGAUAUUAGGAGGAACACCAGUGGCGAAGGCGGCUUACUGGACUGUAACUGACGUUGAGGCUCGAAAGCGUGGGGAGCAAACAGGAUUAGAUACCCCGGUAA
RNAcentral lists this ribosomal RNA (446 nucleotides) under uncultured bacterium. Its description in RNAcentral is "bacterial SSU rRNA". It matches the Rfam family "Bacterial small subunit ribosomal RNA", at positions 330 to 793 of the family's 1533-position model. The record is from RNAcentral.